Molecule: ribosomal RNA, 500 nt
Filed under: uncultured bacterium
Lineage: Bacteria
Description: partial 16S ribosomal RNA
Rfam family: Bacterial small subunit ribosomal RNA
Source: RNAcentral
AUUGAACGCUGGCGGAAUGCUUUACACAUGCAAGUCGAACGGCAGCACGGACUUCGGUCUGGUGGCGAGUGGCGAACGGGUGAGUAAUGUAUCGGAACGUGCCCAGUCGUGGGGGAUAACGUAGUGAAAAUUACGCUAAUACCGCAUACGCUCUAUGGAUGAAAGCGGGGGAUCGCAAGACCUCGCGCGAUUGGAGCGGCCGAUAUCAGAUUAGGUAGUUGGUGGGGUAAAGGCCCACCAAGCCAACGAUCUGUAGCUGGUCUGAGAGGACGACCAGCCACACUGGAACUGAGACACGGCCCAGACUCCUACGGGAGGCAGCAGUGGGGAAUUUUGGACAAUGGGCGAAAGCCUGAUCCAGCCAUUCCGCGUGCAGGAUGAAGGCCCUCGGGUUGUAAACUGCUUUUGUACAGAACGAAAAGGUUUCUACUAAUACUAGGAGCUCAUGACGGUACUGUAAGAAUAAGCACCGGCUAACUACGUGCCAGCCGCCGCAGUAA